Molecule: long non-coding RNA, 2298 nt
Organism: Papaver somniferum (opium poppy)
Lineage: Eukaryota; Viridiplantae; Streptophyta; Magnoliopsida; Ranunculales; Papaveraceae
Exons: 7
Source: RefSeq, a predicted model, not a curated record
CUACACUUCAUGACCUAAAAAUCAGGAUUUAUAUAUUGAAUAAGAGAAAUUUUCUCUUAAGAGUAUUUAUCAGAUCGAGGCUAAAAAUCCCUCCAAUUUUUUUUAUCUCCCGCUCUCAGAUUUACACUAAUUUCGGUCCAAGAUCAAGCUCCAAAAAUCCCCCGCCCACCAAAAUUUAACUAUCUCAGAGUUGGGUCUUAAAACUUAUCACUUUCAAAUUUUCAACAAAUCGAGAUCCAAAAAUUCCCCCUCUUUUUUCAUCUCCCGCUCCAAAAAUUUCACCAAAAUCUACUUUAAAAUUCCCAAAGUUUUUUCGUAUGAAAGAGGAUUUCAGCAAUUGUUCUUAUUGUCUCUGAAAAAGAAGUUCUUUUUUUUUGUUAAGAUGGAAACAACUGCAACCUCUAAUGGUGCACCUACACCAGUAUUCCCAUCUCAAACUGUUGAAACUGUGGUAAAUGCUCGCACUACUCAAACUGCUCCAAAGCUGAUGGUGGAGAUGGAUGUAAGUGACAGACUUGAAGGUCCUGAUCCAUGGUACUUUGCUACUUGUACCGGAGAACUUGUCCGAACGCAUUAUCAUGUGUCGUACCUGGAUUGGAGGGGAGUUCCAAAGAUCUUGAAAGGUUAUUGUUAAAAGGAAUCCUGCUUCUCAGACUGAAAAUGAACAAUCCGUCUGCUCUGGAUGCCCUCAGUAGUAACGUGCAUCUGGAACUCUGUAAGACAGCAAUUUCGAAUGUGGGACAUGCCGGCGAGGUACAUUUUCUAUCCGGUUGAAAUGUGGUUUGCUGCUUCAGAGUUUUAUAAUUAGGUGACUACAACAAGGUUAUGAUUUAGCAGGAUCAGAGUGACCUGAAAAUGCAGAUAUUCUCAUGAUCGGGAUGACCUAAAACUGCAGAAUAUCCGUCGCUUCAGGAUGCACUUGUUACUCAAGGACUGAAUUUUGCAAAUUAUAUUGAUGGUUAGAGGAAUUAAUGAACUUUGCUCUCAGAUCAGGUGGAUUGAUUCUGAGGCUUCUGCGGGUGGUUCUCACAAUUGAGGUAUAUAGCUUACCUUUUUUAAAAACUUUUGGUAACUCUGUAUGUAGUUCACCUAUUUUUAUAAAUCACUUCUGUGAGUAUUUUUUUUGUUUAUUUUGUGGUAUCUAUUUCCUGACUAUGUUGAUUUUGUGGCACCUUGUUUGUAGCUAUUCAACACGCUUUCACUGUUUCUGCUCUUUGAUGAAGAUAUUAUCUUCGCAUCUCACGCUUACUUGGUAGAAAUCUUUAUCAACUUUUCACAUUCUUUUUCAUGCAACUAUCAUGAUGUUUGAAUGGUUUCUAGUAAUUCUGUGCACCCAUUCCACCAUCAUGGUCACCAAUCUGCUGUUACUGAAGUUGAUAGUUGUGGUUUUGUCACUGAUCUGUGAAUUUGUCGACUGGUUGUAGUAGUGGAAUUGGAAUUCUGAUGUAGUGUUUACUCAUUAUUAUAGUAUUCUUAUAGGAAAAUUUUGUUGUUAUAAAACAUCGGCAUGACAAUUACAAAAACAAAACAAUAGAAUUAGCCAAUCGGGACAGAACUGAUUCCAUCUCGACCACUAUAUUCCAAACUUUAUCUAGUUAAGUUUUGACUUUCAUGGUUGUAGUUGUUGUGACGUUCUUAGUUAAAUCCAAAGGCCAUAAAUAGGCAUAAGAGUUAUCGUCUUUGCACAAUUCUCUUCGUCUCUUGGCUAGUUUCCAGAUUGUGUUUGUACCAGAUCUUCGUUUUGUUGUACUGUAGUUCAAUUCCCCACAAAGAGAUGGUAUGUCACAAACUUGCAGAUCGAAAGCAAGAUGAUAAUAUGGAUGAAUAUGAAAGUUCCGGUUGAGUGCUGCCUUAUAACAUCGUAGCUGCUGAAGCACUAGGAACUGGUCCUUCAGAUGCAGCCGCAUUUAUUCCUGCGGCAUUGCGAUGGAUUUUGGUGUUAGAAGUAUUUCUCGUCAACUGUUGAACUCGCUGGCCCUCUUUAAUUAUUGAUUCAAAUUUCAAAGGUCCGGAUAUGUCUACGCUGAUAAACACCUGGAACUUGAUUUAUUUUUUAAUCUUGAGAAGUACAUGUUCUGAUGAUUUGGGGGGCUUGGGAUGGCACUUAUAGCAUGUUCUGACGCACAUGUUCGUAUUUUGUAAUCAUUGAGUUUAUACUUUGUUUUGGAUAUUUUUUCACCAUUGGAAAUUCAUGUUUAAGAUCAAUUUUUAUUUUUAUUUUAAAUUCCUUAUGUUUAAGUGGGAUUAUAUCUCCUUGUAAGAAACCUCAUCUAUUAAUAAAAUUUAAAAUUUAUUUUA